AAUACAUGCAAGUCGAACGAACUUCCGUUAAUUGAUUAUGACGUGCUUGCACUGAAUGAGAUUUUAACACGAAGUGAGUGGCGGACGGGUGAGUAACACGUGGGUAACCUGCCCAGAAGCAGGGGAUAACACCUGGAAACAGAUGCUAAUACCGUAUAACAGAGAAAACCGCCUGGUUUUCUUUUAAAAGAUGGCUCUGCUAUCACUUCUGGAUGGACCCGCGGCGCAUUAGCUAGUUGGUGAGGUAACGGCUCACCAAGGCGAUGAUGCGUAGCCGACCUGAGAGGGUAAUCGGCCACAUUGGGACUGAGACACGGCCCAGACUCCUACGGGAGGCAGCAGUAGGGAAUCUUCCACAAUGGACGCAAGUCUGAUGGAGCAACGCCGCGUGAGUGAAGAAGGGUUUCGGCUCGUAAAGCUCUGUUGUUAAAGAAGAACGUGGGUGAGAGUAACUGUUCACCCAGUGACGGUAUUUAACCAGAAAGCCACGGCUAACUACGUGCCAGCAGCCGCGGUAAUACGUAGGUGCAAGCGUAUCAGGAAUUUAUUGGGC
RNAcentral lists this ribosomal RNA (553 nucleotides) under Pediococcus acidilactici. RNAcentral describes it as "bacterial SSU rRNA". It matches the Rfam family "Bacterial small subunit ribosomal RNA", at positions 50 to 559 of the family's 1533-position model. Lineage: Bacteria; Bacillati; Bacillota; Bacilli; Lactobacillales; Lactobacillaceae. The record is from RNAcentral.